UACGUAGGGUGCGAGCGUUAAUCGGAAUUACUGGGCGUAAAGCGUGAGCAGGCGGUUUUGUAAGCCGGAUGUGAAAUCCCCGGGCUUAACCUGGGAAUGGCAUUCGGGACUGCAAGGCUGGAGUGCGGCAGAGGAGACUGGAAUUCCUGGUGUAGCAGUGAAAUGCGUAGAUAUCAGGAGGAACACCGAUGGCGAAGGCAGGUCUCUGGGCUGACACUGACGCUCAUGCACGAAAGCGUGGGGAGCAAACAGG
This 253-nucleotide ribosomal RNA is filed under the name uncultured bacterium. Its description in RNAcentral is "partial 16S ribosomal RNA". It matches the Rfam family "Bacterial small subunit ribosomal RNA", at positions 524 to 776 of the family's 1533-position model. The record is from RNAcentral.